RNAcentral lists this ribosomal RNA (554 nucleotides) under Micractinium conductrix. RNAcentral describes it as "eukaryotic LSU rRNA". It matches the Rfam family "Eukaryotic large subunit ribosomal RNA", at positions 22 to 583 of the family's 3401-position model. The record is from RNAcentral. Lineage: Eukaryota; Viridiplantae; Chlorophyta; Trebouxiophyceae; Chlorellales; Chlorellaceae.
UACCCGCUGAACUUAAGCAUAUCAAUAAGCGGAGGAAAAGAAACUAACUAGGAUGCCCUUAGUAACGGCGAGCGAACCGGGCAAAGCCCAACUUGAAAAUCUCCAGCCUCCGGCUGGCGAAUUGUAGUCUAGAGAAGUGCUCUCUGCGCCAGUCCGGCCCCAAGUCCCCUGGAAAGGGGAGUCAGAGAGGGUGAGAACCCCGUUGGGACCGGAUCCUGGUGCUCCACGAGACGCUUUCGCAGAGUCGGGUUGUUUGGGAAUGCAGCCCAAAGCAGGUGGUAAAUCCCAUCUAAGGCUAAAUACAGACGGGAGACCGAUAGCGAACAAGUACCGCGAGGGAAAGAUGAAAAGAACUUUGAAAAGAGAGUUAAAAAGUGCUUGAAAUUGUUGAGAGGGAAGUGAUUGGAUCCUACGGGUGCGCCCAGGCACACGCCUGCCUAACGGUUGGCUGAAUGCGCUGGGUGCUGGUCAGCAUGGGUUGGCCGGGCGGGACAAACCCGGGGAUUGCUACCCCGGCUAUGUCGCCUGGCCGACUGAGGAAAGAAGGGCGCUCU